ACCUCCUUGGCUCAGUCGAUAGAGCACGUUGUUAGAUAAACAAAUGAUCUAAUUAGCAUGAGGUUAGUCGUUCAAGUCGGCUAGGAGUAA
Rhodocollybia butyracea is the source of this 90-nucleotide non-coding RNA. Lineage: Eukaryota; Fungi; Basidiomycota; Agaricomycetes; Agaricales; Omphalotaceae. The record is from the annotation of a GenBank genome assembly.